This 469-nucleotide ribosomal RNA is filed under the name uncultured bacterium. Its description in RNAcentral is "partial 16S ribosomal RNA". It matches the Rfam family "Bacterial small subunit ribosomal RNA", at positions 28 to 507 of the family's 1533-position model. The record is from RNAcentral.
GACGAACGCUGGCGGCGUGCUUAACACAUGCAAGUCGAACGGAAAGGCCCUGCUUGCAGGGUGCUCGAGUGGCGAACGGGUGAGUAACACGUGGGUGAUCUGCCCCUUACUUUGGGAUAAGCCUGGGAAACUGGGUCUAAUACUGGAUAGGACCAUGCUGUAGGUGGUGUGGUGGAAAGAUUAGUUUCGGUAAGGGAUGAGCUCGCGGCCUAUCAGCUUGUUGGUGGGGUAAUGGCCUACCAAGGCGUCGACGGGUAGCCGGCCUGAGAGGGUGGACGGCCACAUUGGGACUGAGAUACGGCCCAGACUCCUACGGGAGGCAGCAGUGGGGAAUAUUGCACAAUGGGCGCAAGCCUGAUGCAGCGACGCCGCGUGGGGGAUGACGGCCUUCGGGUUGUAAGCUCCUUUCAGCCAUGACGAAGCCCUUGUGGUGACGGUAGUGGUAGAAGAAGCACCGGCUAACUACGUG